RNAcentral lists this long non-coding RNA (577 nucleotides) under Homo sapiens (human). Its description in RNAcentral is "HSALNT0401781". Lineage: Eukaryota; Metazoa; Chordata; Mammalia; Primates; Hominidae. The record is from RNAcentral.
AGUGCUGGCGCAAGUCGUCUUGCGCCAGGCGACUGGGUCUGAGGAGGCAGGAGUUAUUCAUUCCCUUAAGCUUUCAGGCCGGGGGGAGAAUCUUUCAGGUGGUAGCUGCAAGAACUCUUAGUAUGUUGACCUCACCUCUGCCUUCCACAUACCACUACCAGUGAGGAAUUAGGAAUGCAUGAGAAGAGUGUCCAAGAAGAGUGUCCUCAUUCAUGCAAGGCUUAAGAGAGAAUGCAGGUCAACAUCACCAUGUCAAUCAGAGGUGCAGAUGCUGAGAGCACUUUCUAGUCAAGUCCUGCAUGUUCAUUUCUGUCUCAAGUCAGCUUCUCUGAGAAUCCAAUUUAUAAAAAUAUAUUUGUGAAUGUAUAAGUAAAGUGACUUGGAUUUUGUCUACGUACAAGGACUUCUAUGCCUGCAUAAAACAGGUCUCACCAUGUGAUACAUUGGCUCCCAGUCACCUUCUGCCAUGAUUGUAAGCUUCCUGAGGCCCUCACCAGAAGGUGAACAGAUGCUGGCACUAUGUUUCCUGUACAACCUGUAGAACCAUGAGCUGAUAAAACCACUUUUAUUUACAAAU